Molecule: ribosomal RNA, 605 nt
Filed under: uncultured bacterium
Lineage: Bacteria
Description: bacterial SSU rRNA
Rfam family: Bacterial small subunit ribosomal RNA
Source: RNAcentral
UGCAGUCGACGGUAACAGGAAUUAGCUUGCUAAUUUGCUGACGAGUGGCGCACGGGUGCGUAACGCGUAUACAAUCUACCUUUUGCUGAGGGAUAGCCCAGAGAAAUUUGGAUUAAUACCUCAUGGUAUUAUUGAUAGGCAUCUAUUAAUAAUUAAAGGUUACGGCAAAAGAUGAGUAUGCGUCCCAUUAGCUAGUUGGUGAAGUAACGGUUCACCAAGGCAACGAUGGGUAGGGGUCCUGAGAGGGAGAUCCCCCACACUGGUACUGAGACACGGACCAGACUCCUACGGGAGGCAGCAGUGAGGAAUAUUGGACAAUGGGCGAGAGCCUGAUCCAGCCAUGCCGCGUGCAGGAAGACUGCCCUAUGGGUUGUAAACUGCUUUUAUACAGGAAGAAUAAGCCUUACGAGUAAGGUGAUGACGGUACUGUAAGAAUAAGGACCGGCUAACUCCGUGCCAGCAGCCGCGGUAAUACGGAGGGUCCGAGCGUUAUCCGGAAUUAUUGGGUUUAAAGGGUCCGUAGGCGGAUGAUUAAGUCAGGGGUGAAAGUUUGCAGCUCAACUGUAAAAUUGCCUUUGAUACUGGUCAUCUUGAGUUGUAUUGAA